This 442-nucleotide ribosomal RNA is filed under the name uncultured bacterium. RNAcentral describes it as "partial 16S ribosomal RNA". It matches the Rfam family "Bacterial small subunit ribosomal RNA", at positions 338 to 795 of the family's 1533-position model. The record is from RNAcentral.
CCUACGGGAGGCAGCAGUGGGGAAUAUUGGGCAAUGGGCGCAAGCCUGACCCAGCAAUGCCGCGUGAAGGAUGAAGGCUUUCGGGUUGUAAACUUCUUUGACAGGGGAUGAGCACAAGACGGUUACCUGAAAACAAGCCAAGGCUAACUACGUGCCAGCAGCCGCGGUUAUACGUAGGUGGCAAGCGUUGUCCGGAUUUACUGGGUGUAAAGGGCGUGUAGCGGGGUAGGCAAGUCAGAUGUGAAAUCCGGAGGCUCAACCUCCGACUUACAUUUGAAACUGUUUGUCUUGAGUACUGGAGAGGCAGACGGAAUUCCUUGUGUAGCGGUGGAAUGCGUAGAUAUAAGGAGGAACAUCAGUGGCGAAGGCGGUCUGCUGGACAGCAACUGACGGUGAGGCGCGAAAGCGUGGGGAGCAAACAGGAUUAGAUACCCGAGUAGUC